RNAcentral lists this ribosomal RNA (406 nucleotides) under uncultured bacterium. Its description in RNAcentral is "partial 16S ribosomal RNA". It matches the Rfam family "Bacterial small subunit ribosomal RNA", at positions 30 to 526 of the family's 1533-position model. The record is from RNAcentral.
AUUGAACGCUGGCGGCAGGCUUAACACAUGCAUGUCGAACGAGUAGCGGACGGGUGAGUAAUGCUUGGGAAUCUAGCUUAUGGAGGGGGAUAACUACGGGAAACUGUAGCUAAUAUCGCUUACCAUAGGAUGAGCCCAAGCGGGAUUAGGUAGUUGGUGAGGUAAAGGCCCACCAAGCCGCCGAGCUCUAGCUGGUCUGAGAGGAUGACCAGCCACAUUGGGACUGAGACACGGCCCAGACGCCGACGGGAGGCAGCAGUGGGGAAUAUUGCACAAUGGGCGCAAGCCUGAUGCAGACAUGCCGCGUGUAUGAAGAAGGCCUUCGGGUUGUAAAGUACUUUCAGUCGGGAGGCGUUACCGACAGAAGAAGCACCGGCUAACUCCGUGCCAGCAGCCGCGGUAAUAC